GUGUUAAGUGAUUGUUGCCAGGAUACAAGCGUCAAUCGGAUUAUUUUGUUAUUUUAUUCCCAACAAAAUGCGACAGCUAUUUAGGCUUUUUGUAUUAGCAGUUCGCUGUAAGCAUUUCCAAAUACUUGUAGUGUCAAAAGUUAUGCGGACAUGUCAGGCAGACGAUACAUCAUCGUUCCCAAAAAACUGUUUACAUUUCAAAAUCGAAACUUUCAGCGACGAGACGCAAUGGGGAAGUUCAUUAGUUUUAAAAAUAAUUUUUCACCUGGUCUAGAUUAAGUACUUUUCGAUCGUGUCAAAGAGUCACAUACGCAUAUAUUCCCAUUUAUUAACUCAAGCCAGAUCUAAAGUUGAAUAAGAGUUGAUAAAUUAUUUAUAGCAAAAACGGAUACAUAACCACAGGCAAAGCGAAGGUAUUCCCCCACAUCACCAGUGAAAAUAAGUGAAAUAAACAAAUUGUCAAUCAGGCCUCUUAGACAGGCACCUACGAUUUUAAAAGAACCCACCAAGAGGUGGAAAAGUGAAAAAAAGUGGAUGUGAACCUAUACAACAGAACAAUUAAAAGUACACAUAAGAAAAAAUAAUAAUAAAAAAAUACGUACUUAAACAUACAUUAAGUGAUUAAAUCCAUGAAACGGGCGCGAAACCUACUAAAACAAAACAAAUACAAAAAAAAACUAAAAAUCAAGUACGGGCGCGGUAAAAUCCAUAAUACGCCAACAACAACAAAAAUAAAAACCCAAAACCUACACACAAGUAUAUAGGAUUCUCAACAGGCAAGCAGCG
Bactrocera dorsalis (oriental fruit fly) is the source of this 786-nucleotide long non-coding RNA. RefSeq lists it as uncharacterized. The record is from RefSeq and is a predicted model, not a curated record. Lineage: Eukaryota; Metazoa; Arthropoda; Insecta; Diptera; Tephritidae. The transcript has 2 exons.